CCUACGGGUGACAGCAGUGAGGAAUAUUGGUCAAUGGACGCAAGUCUGAACCAGCCAUGCCGCGUGCAGGAUGACGGCUCUAUGAGUUGUAAACUGCUUUUGUACGAGGGUAAACCCCGAUACGUGUAUCGGGUUGAAAGUAUCGUACGAAUAAGGAUCGGCUAACUCCGUGCCAGCAGCCGCGGUAAUACGGAGGAUCCGAGCGUUAUCCGGAUUUAUUGGGUUUAAAGGGUGCGUAGGCGGUUUGAUAAGUUAGAGGUGAAAUGUCGGGGCUCAACCCCGAAACUGCCUCUAAUACUGUUGGACUAGAGAAUAGUUGCGGUAGGCGGAAUGUAUGGUGUAGCGGUGAAAGGCUUAGAGAUCAUACAGAACACCGAUUGCGAAGGCAGCUUACCAAACUAUAUCUGACGUUGAGGCACGAAAGCGUGGGUAGCAAACAGGAUUAGAUACCCGUGUAGUC
Molecule: ribosomal RNA, 460 nt
Filed under: uncultured bacterium
Lineage: Bacteria
Description: partial 16S ribosomal RNA
Rfam family: Bacterial small subunit ribosomal RNA
Source: RNAcentral